This 253-nucleotide ribosomal RNA is filed under the name uncultured bacterium. Its description in RNAcentral is "partial 16S ribosomal RNA". It matches the Rfam family "Bacterial small subunit ribosomal RNA", at positions 524 to 776 of the family's 1533-position model. The record is from RNAcentral.
GACAGAGGGGGCAAGCGUUGCUCGGAAUUACUGGGCGUAAAGGGCGCGUAGGCGGGAUGGCAAGUCGGUCGUGAAAUCCUUCGGCUCAACCGAAGAACGUCGAUCGAUACUGCUGUUCUUGAGGGUUGCAGAGGAGACUGGAAUUCCCGGUGUAGCGGUGAAAUGUGUAGAGAUCGGGAGGAACACCGGUGGCGAAGGCGGGUCUCUGGGCAAUUCCUGACGCUGAGGCACGAAAGCGUGGGGAGCAAACAGG